AAUCAACGCUGGCGGCGCGCCUAACACAUGCAAGUCGAACGAGAAAGCAGGAGCAAUCUUGUGAGUAAAGUGGCGUACGGGUGAGUAACACGUGGAUCAUCUACCCUCUUGUGGGGGAUAACCCUGGGAAACCGGGGCUAAUACCGCAUAAGUCCGAGAGGAGAAAGCAGCAAUGCGCAGGAGGAGGAGUCCGCGGCCGAUUAGCUAGUUGGUAGGGUAAAAGCCUACCAAGGCAACGAUCGGUAGCCGGCCUGAGAGGGCACACGGCCACACUGGCACUGAAACACGGGCCAGACCUCCUACGGGAGGCAGCAGUGGGGAAUCUUGCACAAUGGGGGCAACCCUGAUGCAGCGACGCCGCGUGAGCGAUGAAGCCCUU
Molecule: ribosomal RNA, 379 nt
Filed under: uncultured bacterium
Lineage: Bacteria
Description: bacterial SSU rRNA
Rfam family: Bacterial small subunit ribosomal RNA
Source: RNAcentral